UGGGCUUGACAUCCCACGAACCUGAAAGGGGGACGAGCCCGUAGCAAUACGGGCAGCCUACACAGGUGCUGCAUGGCUGUCGUCAGCUCGUGUCGUGAGAUGUUGGGUUAAGUCCCGCAACGAGCGCAACCCUUAUCUUUAGUUGCCACCAGGUUAUGCUGAGCACUCUAAAGAAACCGCCCCAUAUAAUGGGGAGGAAGGUGGGGAUGACGUCAAGUCCUCAUGGCCUUUAUGCCCUGGGCUACACACGUGCUACAAUGGCCGGUACAACGAGCUGCAAACUCGCGAGAGGGAGCCAAUCUCUGAAAGCCGGCCCCAGUUCAGAUUGCAGGCUGCAACUCGCCUGCAUGAAGUCGGAAUCGCUAGUUAUCGCGGAUCAGCUACGCCGCGGUGAAUACGUUCCCGGGCCUUGUACACACCGCCCGUCACACCACGAAAGCCUGCUGUACUCGAAGUCGCUGAGAAUCUC
This 469-nucleotide ribosomal RNA is filed under the name uncultured bacterium. Its description in RNAcentral is "bacterial SSU rRNA". It matches the Rfam family "Bacterial small subunit ribosomal RNA", at positions 976 to 1442 of the family's 1533-position model. The record is from RNAcentral.